UACGGAAGGCAGCAGUGGGGAAUAUUGCACAAUGGGCGCAAGCCUGAUGCAGCCAUGCCGCGUGUAUGAAGAAGGCCUUCGGGUUGUAAAGUACUUUCAGUCGUGAGGAAGGUGUUAAGGUUAAUAACCUUAGCAAUUGACGUUAGCGACAGAAGAAGCACCGGCUAACUCCGUGCCAGCAGCCGCGGUAAUACGGAGGGUGCGAGCGUUAAUCGGAAUUACUGGGCGUAAAGGGCACGCAGGCGGUUAAUUAAGUUGGAUGUGAAAUCCCCGGGCUUAAACCUGGGAAUGGCAUUCAAGACUGGUUAGCUAGAGUCUUGUAGAGGGGGUAGAAUUCCAUGUGUAGCGGUGAAAUGCGUAGAGAUGUGGAGGAAUACCGGUGGCGAAGGCGGCCCCUGGACAAAAGGACUGACGCUCAUGUGCGAAAAGCGUGGGGAGCAAAACAGGGAUUAGAUACC
RNAcentral lists this ribosomal RNA (458 nucleotides) under uncultured bacterium. Its description in RNAcentral is "bacterial SSU rRNA". It matches the Rfam family "Bacterial small subunit ribosomal RNA", at positions 340 to 786 of the family's 1533-position model. The record is from RNAcentral.